CGGAAACGGAGGAGAGCGCGGGGGAUGUGUUUGGCAUGGGGACGCACUGUUACAGUUGCGCUCCUGGUUGGCUUUGUGUUUCCGCGGUGUUGGUAGAGUCUCGGUGUUUCUACCUCUUAGCACCCUUUCCUGCCACCCUUUGUCCUGUGGAAGCCCGGAGACAUCAGCGGCUGCAAUUUUGCUACUCGCUGCUCGGCAUGGAACGGACAAAAAAUAAUAUCCAAAGAUAUUUUGGCACUAACAGCGCUAUCUGUAGCAAGAAAGUUGAGCAGUGUGAACUGUUGAGACUUCCAAGAAGACUUCAGAGAACCAAGACAGUGUAAAGGAAAACAGGAAAAAAGACUUGUUAGACAUUAUUAAGGGCACGAAAGUUGAAUUGAGCACAGUAAAUGUACAAACAACAAAGCCACCCAACAGAAGUCCACUUAAAAGCUACAACUGGCCCGCCUCAAAGAGCUACAGAGCAUGCUCCAAAGAAGAGAAAUGAGCCCGUGAGUCCUGAGUUGGUGGCAGCUGCAUCUGCUGCUCUGUUUUGACAAGCAAACAAGCCAGAACUGCUCAGGCAGCUCCGUAGCAUGAGGAAGAGUCAGGGGCACAGAGAGAUGGAGAGAGACCUAGUUAGAGAGCGAACCAUGUGCUGGAUUUAGCCAGUCCUGCAUUUUUCUAUACUUCAAAUCAAAACGGGCCAUGCUUCACAUCUACCCAUGAUGAAUAGGGGUACUUUGAUUAAGAAU
RNAcentral lists this long non-coding RNA (734 nucleotides) under Homo sapiens (human). Its description in RNAcentral is "non-protein coding lnc-NEK3-1:11". Lineage: Eukaryota; Metazoa; Chordata; Mammalia; Primates; Hominidae. The record is from RNAcentral.